Lontra canadensis (Northern American river otter) is the source of this 679-nucleotide long non-coding RNA. RefSeq lists it as uncharacterized. NCBI's taxonomy places the organism in Eukaryota, Metazoa, Chordata, Mammalia, Carnivora, Mustelidae. The transcript is spliced from 3 exons. The record is from RefSeq and is a predicted model, not a curated record.
CUGUUUGCAGGGCUGCUUGGUUUGAACAAGUACGUGACCUUGAUUCUGUCUGGGCUUAUCUUCAAUCCACAGCGCAUCCCCAACUUUCGAGGCAGCCUGUAAUUUUUGUGUGUCCUCUUAUGUGAGUACUUCAAGGUCACAAUCACCGGCACACAGCAAUCAGCUCUCAAAUGACUGCCUUAAUGGAUGUUGUUUGCAGCUUAUCCUAACUAGAAUUUCUCUUAGGUCCAGCUUCAAGGCCUGAGGACCUCAGAUGCAAGCUAACAGUGACUAGUGUGCAACUGGAAAUAAGCAGACCUGGGCAAGAAGAACUCCCCAGCUCCAGGUCUAGCCCUGAAUGAGCAUCUCAAGCAGUCCAGAUAUCAACAUAAACAUCAAUGGAACAUCCCUCGGCACCUGGUGCUGCUUCUUUUAGACAAAAUCCAACAAGCUUAAUUAUGGGACUCUGGAGGCCUGAGAAAUUACAGAACAAAGUACCUGCCGGAAGUAGACGAACUGACAGGAGCCAAGAGGAGGUCCGCUGGUGUCAAAGAAGGAGACAGGAGAACAAAAUGAAGAUCUAGGAUCUGGGAAGCCAGAGCAACCUGGGGCCACUUACAGAGGGGCAAGCAGCCCAAUGAUCCUUGGGGACACGACUGCAUUACGGCAAAAUACAAUACUUGACCUUAUGAGGAUGACA